AUGGCGGCGAGCACGAAGAAGCUCCGUCCGCUCCUGCUCACCCUCUUCCUGCUCCUCACCGCCGCCGUCGCGGCGCCCGCCAUCGACUGCGACUGCGACAAGCCCAAGGCCCCCAAGCCCUCCCACCCGCCCAAGACCAAGCCCCCCACCAAGGACCCCAAGCCGGGACCCAAGGGCCCCACCNNNNNNNNNNNNNNNNNNNGGCCACCUCCCGCGCCCGCCGGUCGUCGGCCCGCCGAAGGGCCACGUCCCUCGCCCGCCGGUCGUCGGCCCGCCGAAGGGCCACGUGCCCCGGCCGCCGGUCUACGGUCCGCCCAAGGGCCCCAUCACGCGCCCGCCGGUCACCAAGCCACCUGUCGUCGUCGGCCCGCCGGUGACCCACCCCACGCCGCCGGUGAGCGCGCCUCCGGUCACAUACCCAGCGCCACCGGUGACCACCCCUCCGGUCACCUACCCUGCGCCACCGGUGACCGCCCCUCCGGUCAUUACCCUUCACCUCCAGUCACCGCUCCCCCGGUCACGUACCCGACGCCGCCAGUGAACACGCCAUGCCCUCCGCCACCACCGGCGACGCCCGCGGCGCAAACGUGCCCGGUGGACUCGCUGAAGAUCGGCGCGUGCGUGGACCUGCUGGGCGGGCUGGUGCACGUGGGGCUCGGCGACCCGGUGGUGAACAAGUGCUGCCCGCUGCUGGAGGGGCUUGUGGAGCUGGAGGCGGCGGUCUGCCUGUGCACCACCAUCCGGCUCAAGCUGCUCAACAUCAACCUCGUCCUGCCCCUCGCCCUCCAGCUCCUCCUCACCUGCGGCAAGACGCCUCCCACCGGCUACACCUGCUCCAUCUAG
Molecule: ribosomal RNA, 843 nt
Filed under: Triticum aestivum (bread wheat)
Lineage: Eukaryota; Viridiplantae; Streptophyta; Magnoliopsida; Poales; Poaceae
Description: partial small subunit ribosomal RNA
Source: RNAcentral